RNAcentral lists this long non-coding RNA (774 nucleotides) under Rattus norvegicus (Norway rat). RNAcentral's name for it is "long non-coding RNA NONRATT020318". The record is from RNAcentral. Lineage: Eukaryota; Metazoa; Chordata; Mammalia; Rodentia; Muridae.
AAGAAAAGAAAAGGCCGGGGCAAGGCCGGGAAGAAGCAGAAGCAGAAGAAGCCGGAAGUAGACAUCCUCAGCCCGGCAGCCAUGUUGAACCUAUACUACAUCGCUCACAAUGUUGCCGACUGCCUGUAUCUGCGUGGCUUCCCUUGGCCAGGCGCUCCCAAAGGGAAAAGGGGGAAAAAAUAAGAUUUAGGUGGUAGAAUUCAAAGCAUGCCUUGGUCUCAAAGAACAGAAAGUAGGAGAAUGCAUUUAGGGUACCUCAAGGACUGCGGGCAAGCGGGCUCUAACAGCCAAGUAGAAACAUGUAGCCACUGUACUUUUCUGUGGUAAAUAAUGACAAACAUUUUUAUUUCCACAGCUGAGCCAGGCAAUAGGUAAGCCACUUUGUUUUUUCAGAAGUAACCAGGAAAACCAAACCCAAGUAGUUCAUAAAGGCUACCCUGGCAUUGGUAGUGUUUUUUUUAAAUAUUAUACUCAUAAAUCUAGACUGAAUUAAACCUUGUUCUCAGAAGGCAGCUCCAGGUUGCAUGAGUCGUUUUCUUUUGUGAGAGCUGGCUCAGAGAAGCAGAGAGCUCAGGCCUAACUUGUAAGCACGUUUUCUGCUGUGGUUUGGUUUGGGGUCUCUCUCUCUCUCUCUCUCUCUCUCUCUCUCUCUCUCUCUCUCAACGAUGGGAAUGAGCCUAGGGCCUCUGCUCAGAAAGAGCUCUGCCAUUAAACUACUCCUCGCUACCCCCCCCCCUUUUAACAAAAUUGAAAUAAAUAACUUGUUUUAAUAAA